Molecule: non-coding RNA, 1062 nt
Organism: Thamnophis sirtalis
Lineage: Eukaryota; Metazoa; Chordata; Lepidosauria; Squamata; Natricidae
Source: RefSeq, a predicted model, not a curated record
CUAUCCCUGCCCCGGAGAGUCCUGGCCAGUGUUUGAAGCUACGCGUUUUGGUCUGCUGCAAAGCCGCGACCACCGCAGACCCCAUGACGGAGGCCCCCAAAUCUCAGCCCCGAGGGAGAGGAGGUCCGGAGAAAGCAGAGGUCAUUCGGGCACACAGCCCUGCCCCGAUCCGGCUUAGCGUCGCCUGCCUGGCUCUCCUGGUGGUGCCCUUUCUCUGGCUCUGACUGCCGGGAAUUUGGAUCGCGUUCCUCCUCAAAGACUCGGGCCGGUUAGGGAGCGCCGGCGGAGGGAUCCCUCCACCCCACUGUUACCCCCCGCUGCGAAGAUGCUGACCGACCGCUUGGCACUUUAGACUUUGACGAAGACCCCCUCCUCAUUUCUCCUUCGAUUGACCACACAGCUGAUUUUGGGAAGGGGGGGCCGACAGUGUUUCCAAAUCCCGAAGGAACGCCUCUUUAAUCCGGGAUGAUCCUCUCCGCUUCCAUUCAGGCUCCUGAGGAUUUCUAGUGAGAGCGCGUCGUGUCUCGUUCCCACCACCGGAUAUCAAAUCUGUGCUUUCUGCCUCCGGGACCGGAUGGAGACCCCCAUCACCACCACCACCAAGCUGGCUUCCCCCACCCCAAACAAGAAAAUUCAGAUUUGAGUCCCUUCCAGAUUUCAGCCGAAGACAAUCUCCCCAGGACUUCACGCCAAAGAGACGAGAUUUCUCCCCGUUACUCCACUGGCAAUCUCCCAAGGACUUAAAACUGUGCUGCUUAAAUAGAGGAGGUUGGCUUUGUAUACCCCACCCCAAAAUUUCCUCUUUGGGGUGAACAUUGCCCCCCCCCAAAAAAAACCCACCCUCUGGACCGUGUCAGCUUCCCCGCGCUUUCUGUUCUCGAUGAGAACAAUCCUGACGGACGGCUCCAUUAUAUUAUCUUCCGUGAAGAAAGCAACUUCCUGUAGCUGGUGCGCUGCUCCCAUGUUUUUUUUUAUGAUUGUUGUGUUUUUAAAUUUGGUGGUCCCUCCCGCUGAAUCCGGGAUCAUCGGUGACUGAGCCAAACAAUAAAUCCGUUUUAGAAA